This is a long non-coding RNA of Rhinolophus ferrumequinum (greater horseshoe bat), 4021 nucleotides long. RefSeq lists it as uncharacterized. NCBI's taxonomy places the organism in Eukaryota, Metazoa, Chordata, Mammalia, Chiroptera, Rhinolophidae. The record is from RefSeq and is a predicted model, not a curated record. The transcript has 4 exons.
UGGGGCGGGGGAAAGGCAAGACAACUGGCAACGCGGAGCCCACCCAAUGGUUAGAUAGACGGGGCCCUGGAGUCCCAAGGGCCAAACCACCGCGGCUGGCCCUGAGGUCGUGGGCGUUUCUGAAGACGUGGCCGCGCCGUGGGGACUGAGGAUCUGCGCCCCGGCCUGCUCUCUCACCCCUCCCCUAGAAGCAUCUGGCCUUCUUUUUCCCUCCACAGUCAUCCAAUCUAAAGCUUCCCAACACCCAGAUGGACUACAUCUACGAAGGUGCCAGAAUGAGGCAGAAGUUAAUUCUCCCGCGGAAGGCAGUCCUGUCCUUGGAGUAGGCGUCAGGGCCGGAGUGGGCAGCGCAGCGUCUUCGCCGCCGCCCUGAUCGCCUGAGCUGCCAUCCCAAGCCGAAUUCUCAAAACUAAGGAGAUCGAAUAAUUGGACUCUUUCCUUUGUGGCUGUGGUUGGAAUAUGCACUGCCAUUCUCUUAGCAAGUCAUUUAUAGAUACUUUUAGAGAAGGAAACACCCAUACACUAUGAAAUGGUGAGCAAGUCGGUAAAUUUUGGAGUUGGGGCUUGCACAAAAGAUACAUUCCUAAUCACAUUCUCUGAGACCCUGCUGGAGGGACUGAGCAAUGGACCAAAAGAUAUGGAGAAAGAAGAUGAUAAAAAGACGAGAGAACCGAGUAAAAAUAUGGAGGAGAUGACGAGAGACAGAGCAGAAUGUGGAGAGAGGGUAAAAGAAGGAGCUGCAGCAAGUGAGCAAAAGAGAGAAUUGAUAGAGAAAAAGAAUGAGGCUUGAUAUGUAGGGGGAACAAAAGGCUUAAAUGACAAAAGAAAGAAAGAAAUUAAUGCACACUGUGGGAAACAGAAAAGCACCAGGAUUAUUUGCCUCAGUUUCUGCUCAGAGAGAUUGUUGCAAGUAGCUGCCUCAUCCCUUGCUGUAGGCAUUUCAUUUUAAAAAUCCCUUUUACUAUCACCCAAGUCAUAACAAAAAGUAAAGAACAGGGUGGAGGGCCAUGAAACAUUUAAUUCAAAUUGAUGUUCAUCUAAUAGGCAUUCUCUAUCCAGAAUUAGAGUAAAGAUGGUACCAUGUUGCUAAUACUGGAUCUCAAGAUGGUGAAGGGAAAGACAUCCAGGGGAUGUCUUGACUGACGCCAUUACUCUUCAAAAGAUGCUGCGAACCAUGAUAGGAUUUCAAAACUCUUAUGUGGUUGCUGAGACUCCUGGUUCUAGUUAUUUUCCUUUACCUCCAAAAUGGAGAUCAAACUGGAUGUUUUUCCCUGUGAUUUAGUCAGGAUCAAUGCCUCUGCCAUCGCAACCUCUGAUUCCUCAGGGAAAAGUAUACCUCCAGGCAAGUGAUGAGUCUUACUCUCAUUCACCCCUACUCAUAACCUUGAGAGAUUGUAAGGUCCUGGUUCUGCUAAUGGCGUAUGCAGGAAACCUGAAUUCCGGUUUCAAUUGGCACUAAUUAAUUGCAACACAUUUAUUGAUUCGUAUGUCGUUCAACAAAAACGCGUUAAAGUUUUUAAUUAUUUUAGGUGCCCCGAGUAAGAUUUAGCUGUGACAUCAAGGAUGUCACAGUCUAAUGGGAAAUAAAACAUGAAAACAAUUUUGUAACAUGGAGAGCUAAAUGCCGUGAUAGAUAUUUUCAGAGUGCCAAGGAAGGACACUGGACCUGUCUGAGGUGACAAGAUGCCUUUGCAUAUUGGGAAAUUACCUCACUGCAAUGGUAGCCUCCAAAUACACUUCCAGGAAGUCUGUCCCAGAGAGAAACACACCAGAAGGCCCACAGAAUAAAUUAAGAUGCACAUGUCACAUGGUUUAUUGAAUCGAUUUGAAAAAUACAGCAAGAAAGGGAAAUAUAUGGAGUAGGUUAAUACAGUAGGAUAGGUUGCAAACAGGUAGAAAGAACUGCUACGCAGAUCCUUGUACACAGAGGUACAGAAUGUUAUUAAUAUAGUAAUAUCUUCUGUUCCCCCUCUUUCUCCCCCUCCUCCUCCCCCUCCCUCUCCAUCAGCCUUCAUGGCUGGAGGUGGUGUGGAUGUGGGAGCCACCAGAAAUGAUCCAAAGUUCAGAUCACAGUAACUUUGUGUGCCAUGCUAAGGUAUUUGGGUCUUAUUCUAAAUGCAAUUGGAAAACUGAAGACUGUUAAGCAGGGAAAGCAUAUGACCAGAUUUAUAUUUUAGAAAUAUCAGUCAAUGGAUAGACAGUGCAGCGGGUGGAUUAGACAGUCACAUAGUUAGAUUUAGGAAGUUUUGCAUCAACCCACAAUAGACCUAAUGUAAGUAGAUCAGUUGCCUUGUGAGAUGAGAACUUACACAGUUGCAGUAGCUGUGGGGACGUGGACAGGAUAAUACAAAGUUGAGAGAAAAUGAGUGGAUUUAGGGAGAUUUGGGGGCAUCAGUUCCUAGUCUGCAAAAUGAAGCAAAUGGAUACAUAAUUUCAAAAAGUUAAAAAAUGUGUAAAUUUGAAAGGAGUUUAGAAAUCAUCUAGCCUGACUAGUCAGUUGUAAAGAUGAAAAAGUUUUCUUCAUGAAUGCUUAUGACUAAGAUUUGGGAAUAUCUGGAACCUGCAAGCAUUUUCCUAAGUAAUGAGAAUGAAUUUCCUUCUAAUUCUGGAAACUGUUUGUGGCCAACUGUGGGCCUAAACUUUUAUGCCAAAAAUUAGUAAAAUAGGCAAUGAAGUGAUUUGAAAGGGGGCAAAAGGGGCUCCCUCCAAGAACCACCUUAUACUUCCCAUAGUCUUGCCUUAAAUCUGGCACUGGUAACUCAUUAAGAUGGGGCCUGGCAUUGUCCUCUCCAGGCUCCUUUUUUAGAUGGCAAAGUCCCUAAGGUGAGGUAACAAAUUAGGUCACUAACACCUUUGAGUGAAUUAGAUUGUAUGAUGUUUUUCUCAAGACAGGAGUGGCUCAUGGUAGCCGAAGGACACUGGGACAUAUUGGAGAGGCCGGGCUGAAAGGCAGGGAGAAUUGUAAAGAAAGGAAAGGUUGUGGUAUUAGGGCCUUUGCAGUUUUUCCAAGUGUGGGCCUUGGCCUGACACCCUGGGCCUGUUGGAGCCUUCCAUGCCUGUUACUCAGUGUGGCUGAAACUGUCCGGUUCUGUCUUUUGGAUUUAGUUCUGAUAGGCAGAGCACAGUGAGACAGCAAGGAAACAAGAGCCCACCAGCUUUGUUGCAUCAUUCCGAUUUGUAUCAAGGUCUUAGAACCUUGAAACGUGUCCAUCAAAUAAGGGAUACCCUUCUAUUUCACUAUCAGAUGUGAGUUAAGAGCAAACAAUAAUUCAUGAUCUCUUUUUUUAACUACAGUGGGCCUCUUUAGAUGUAGUUGUGUUCAAGAGUAGAAGUAUUUCCGAGGACUAUGACAUUAUAUAAUGACUAAGAAAACAAAAAUAUCCAUUAAUGGUCAUAAGCAACCUUAGUGCAAUUUUAAUUUCACAGACAAGUUUUUGGACUGGGGAGAAAUCGUAGAAAAUACCCUAAAGAGAAAAGCAAAGAUGUUAAUUCUGAAGCAUAUCAGAAUUAAUGGGCUUAGAAUAUCUGAAGAGCAGGUAUUACAAAUGAAUUACAUUUGAUUUAUUUUUUAAGUGGGCCAUUCUCUAAAAUAGUCGGAUAUAAUUAUUAGGAAAGAUAAACUCUGCCUCUAGAUAUAUAACAUUGAUUUAUUAUUAAUUUCAGUAUAUUGAUUCUUAUAUGAAAAUUGGGCACCCAGAUAUUUUACACAUUCAGUAAAAUAUUUCACAGUGUUUUGUUUAACACACAUCUUAAAUUGGAGAGAGAUAAUUUCAUAGCAAACUUUGGUAAGGCAGAAUGACUAUCAGAUUUUAUAGGUGAAUACAUCAGCAAUAGAAGUGACGAUCAUAAGUGUGCUUUAGUUACUGUUAUUUCUACGAUUUAAUAGGUAUGGCAGAAUCAUAUUAUUGGAGUAAUUCCAUAGAAUGAAAGCAGAAUAAAAAUAGGAAUCUAGGUAAUUUCCCUAGGUUAAAUUAAAUGAUCAUUUUUCUUUAAUUUAUGAUACACUUUUUAAAAUAUUACA